Molecule: long non-coding RNA, 208 nt
Filed under: Elaeis guineensis (African oil palm)
Lineage: Eukaryota; Viridiplantae; Streptophyta; Magnoliopsida; Arecales; Arecaceae
Description: long non-coding RNA (EGUI_LNC000923)
Source: RNAcentral
AGAACCAUAUAAGAUAUAGGCUAUAGAUAUAUUGGGCAUAUCAGGGUAAUUAACUUUUUCCAUGAUAUACUAGAUGGACAAGUUAGACAAUCCUACUGCACCAAUGGUGGCGCUCUGCAAAAAUAUAUUUUUCCUACGACAACUAAAGAUUAGAAUGACUAGAUAAAGGAUCGAGUCAGAUGAUUUUGCCUAAGCAACAUGCUUUUUC